ACUUGCUCGGGCGAAAUAAAAUGUAUGUGCGUGUCGAUUCCGCCGGCGGUUACAAUAAGUCCUUCGCCCGCGAGCGCUUCAGUGCUUGCGCCCACUGUCAUUCCCUUUGUCACGCCGUCCAUCGUGUCGGGGUUUCCAGCCUUUCCGAUGCCGGCGAUUUUUCCGUCCUUGAUUCCGAUGUCAGCCUUGUAAAUUCCUGUCCAGUCAAGAAUCACGCAGUUAGUGAUCACCAAGUCAAGGUCGCCGCCGUCGCUUGUCGUAUUGACCGAUUGUCCCAUUCCGUCGCG
This 287-nucleotide small RNA is filed under the name uncultured Treponema sp. RNAcentral's name for it is "5' ureB small RNA". It matches the Rfam family "5' ureB small RNA". Lineage: Bacteria; Pseudomonadati; Spirochaetota; Spirochaetia; Treponematales; Treponemataceae. The record is from RNAcentral.